CCUACGGGUGGCAGCAGUGGGGAAUAUUGCACAAUGGGGGAAACCCUGAUGCAGCGACGCCGCGUGAGUGAAGAAGUAUUUCGGUAUGUAAAGCUCUAUCAGCAGGGAAGAAGAAACACGGUACCUGACUCAGAAGCAUCGGCUAAAUACGUGACAGCAGCCGCGGUAAUACGUAGGGGGCAAGCGGUAUCCGGGUUUACUGGGGGUAAGGGGAGCGUAGACGGCUGUGCAAGUCUGAAGUGAAAGCCCAGGGCUCAACCCUGGGACUGCUUUGGAAACUGUGGAGCUAGAGUGCUGGAGAGGUAAGUGGAAUUCCUAGUGUAGCGGUGAAAUGCGUAGAUAUUAGGAGGAACACCAGUGGCGAAGGCGGCUUACUGGACAGUAACUGACGUUGAGGCUCGAAAGCGUGGGGAGCAAACAGGAUUAGAUACCCCGGUAGUC
This 441-nucleotide ribosomal RNA is filed under the name uncultured bacterium. RNAcentral describes it as "partial 16S ribosomal RNA". It matches the Rfam family "Bacterial small subunit ribosomal RNA", at positions 338 to 795 of the family's 1533-position model. The record is from RNAcentral.